GACGAACGCUGGCGGCGUGCUUAACACAUGCAAGUCGAACGGAAAGGCCCCUUUGGGGGUACUCGAGUGGCGAACGGGUGAGUAACACGUGAGUAACCUGCCCUUGACUUCGGGAUAACUUCAGGAAACUGGGGCUAAUACCGGAUAGGAAUCCUUGCUGCAUGGUGGGGGUUGGAAAGCUUCGGCGGUUUUGGAUGGACUCGCGGCUUAUCAGCUUGUUGGUGGGGUAGUGGCUUACCAAGGCUUUGACGGGUAGCCGGCCUGAGAGGGCGACCGGCCACAUUGGGACUGAGAUACGGCCCAGACUCCGACGGGAGGCAGCAGGGGGGAAUAUUGCACAAUGGGCGGAAGCCUGAUGCAGCAACGCCGCGGGCGGGAGGACGGCCUUCGGGUUGUAAACCGAUUUCAGCAGGGGCGAAGCUUGUGGUGACGGUACCUGCAGAAGAAGCACCGGCUAACUACGUG
This 465-nucleotide ribosomal RNA is filed under the name uncultured bacterium. RNAcentral's name for it is "partial 16S ribosomal RNA". It matches the Rfam family "Bacterial small subunit ribosomal RNA", at positions 28 to 507 of the family's 1533-position model. The record is from RNAcentral.